GCCGGAGUGGCGAAACUGGCAUACGCACGAGACUCAAAAUCUCGCGCCCUCACGGGUAUGUGGGUUCGAGUCCCACCUCCGGCACCA
Molecule: transfer RNA, 87 nt
Filed under: Acidobacteriota bacterium
Lineage: Bacteria; Pseudomonadati; Acidobacteriota
Also listed under: 1 other name
Description: Acidobacteria bacterium tRNA-Leu
Rfam family: tRNA
About the family: Transfer RNA (tRNA) molecules are approximately 80 nucleotides in length. Their secondary structure includes four short double-helical elements and three loops (D, anti-codon, and T loops). Further hydrogen bonds mediate the characteristic L-shaped molecular structure. tRNAs have two regions of fundamental functional importance: the anti-codon, which is responsible for specific mRNA codon recognition, and the 3' end, to which the tRNAs corresponding amino acid is attached (by aminoacyl-tRNA synthetases). tRNAs cope with the degeneracy of the genetic code in two manners: having more than one tRNA (with a specific anti-codon) for a particular amino acid; and 'wobble' base-pairing, i.e. permitting non-standard base-pairing at the 3rd anti-codon position.
Source: RNAcentral